RNAcentral lists this ribosomal RNA (610 nucleotides) under Chrysomya rufifacies (hairy maggot blowfly). RNAcentral describes it as "partial 12S ribosomal RNA". The stretch from base 384 to 455 matches the Rfam family "tRNA". Lineage: Eukaryota; Metazoa; Arthropoda; Insecta; Diptera; Calliphoridae. The record is from RNAcentral.
UAAAAAAUUUGGCGGUAUUUUAGUCUAUUCAGAGGAACCUGUUCUGUAAUCGAUAAUCCACGAUGGACCUUACUUAAGUUUGUAAUCAGUUUAUAUACCGUCGUUAUUAGAAUAUUUUAUAAGAAUGUUAAUUUUCAAAAUUUUAUAAAAGAAAAUAUAUCAGAUCAAGGUGUAGCUAAUAUUUAAGUAGAAAUGGGUUACAAUAAAUUUAUUUAUACGGAUAUAAAAUUGAAAUUUUUAUUGAAGGUGGAUUUGAUAGUAAAAUUAUAAAGAUUAAUAAUUUGAUUUUAGCUCUAAAAUAUGCACACAUCGCCCGUCACUCUUACUAUUAAGGUAAGAUAAGUCGUAACAUAGUAGAUGUACUGGAAAGUGUACCUAGAAUGCAAUUUAAAGCUUAUUUAGUAAAGCAUUUCAUUUACAUUGAAAAGAUUUUUGUGCAAAUCAAUAUAAAUUGAUUAGAUUUUAUUUAUUAAUUUUUUUUGUUUAUAAAUUAAUUUAUUAAAAAUAAUUAUAAAGUGAAUUGUUUUAGUAUUUUAUAAAGAAAAAAUAAUAUUAAUUAUAGCGUAAUAGUAUUGUGAAAGAAAAUUGAAAUAAUUUGAAAAAUUUUUAU